UACGGAGGGUGCAAGCGUUAUCCGGAUUUACUGGGUUUAAAGGGCGCGUAGGCGGGCCUUUAAGUCAGUGGUGAAAUCUCCCCGCUCAACGGGGAAACUGCCAUUGAUACUAUUGGUCUUGAAUUUAGUUGAGGUGGGCGGAAUGUGUCGUGUAGCGGUGAAAUGCUUAGAUAUGACACAGAACACCGAUUGCGAAGGCAGCUCGCUAAACUAAUAUUGACGCUGAGGCACGAAAGCGUGGGGAUCAAACAGG
This 253-nucleotide ribosomal RNA is filed under the name uncultured bacterium. RNAcentral describes it as "partial 16S ribosomal RNA". It matches the Rfam family "Bacterial small subunit ribosomal RNA", at positions 524 to 776 of the family's 1533-position model. The record is from RNAcentral.